Molecule: long non-coding RNA, 2913 nt
Filed under: Podarcis lilfordi (Lilford's wall lizard)
Lineage: Eukaryota; Metazoa; Chordata; Lepidosauria; Squamata; Lacertidae
Source: RNAcentral
GGCAGCGGAUGGACCGUUUGGGGCAGCCUGGAGCCUGCCGGCGCCCAAGCCAUCGCGUCAAUCCCAGGAGAGACGCGUCGCUCGGGCGCACUGCAGGCCCACGGUGAGUGCCGCCCGCCAUUUUGUCACCCCCUUCAGUGGUGACACCUGGGGCAGCCCACCUCCACCCCCCCUUCCUCCACCCCUGCUCCACCCCCUCCUCAAAUUCUUUUGCCAGGCUGGAAUGUGGGUGAGUUCUUUUUAAAAAUAUUUUUCAAAGAUUUCACUCAAGGAUUUUCAACCUUUAGUCAUUUAUAGGAGUCUUUAGAAUACAUCUCACAUUGGAUAAUGUGGACUGAUUUGAAUUCCAAUCAAUUUUAACUCGGGGCAGAAGCUGUUCUCCGCCCCGCCCCCACCAUGUAAUUGUUUAAGAAACCGAGAACUGUCAUUUGAAAAAGGCUUAGUGUACGGAACUGGAUAAAUAAAUUUGGUUAAUAGAAUAAUCCCACGAAAGUGCAGGCUGAGAGUGCAGCUCAUUUGACUCUGUGCAGGCUUUAAAAGAGCUCUUUCCUGGUUAAUCCAUUCUGCUAUAGAGUGCCAUUGCUAUGUAAGCUUUUCUUCCCCCUUGUUACCCUGAAUAAAGAAGUUAGAUGUAUCAUAACUUUUCAAUUUGUAGACUAUGAAUAACAUUACUUAGAUUGUACAGAAGAAAUCCUCCUGCUGGAUCCGUCGUCGUCUAAUGACACCACAUCUAAUUGGCUUAUGUCAAGAAAUACAUGCGUUCGCAGUACAUGCUGUAAAUCCUGUAAAUGUCUAAAGGAUGAAGAAACAGGGUUAAGGCAGAGCAAGAGCAAAUGCUUUAGGGGUCUCACAUGUCAUAUUCAACAAGUGUACAAUCUGUGCAAUACAACUCGUUGAACAGGACACCUGUACAGCCAUUCGUGUGUAACAUUAGACUGCAUGGUCCACAGUGGUACCUUGGAUUACAGACGCUUCAGGUUACAGACUCCACUAACCCAGAAAUAGUACCUCAGGUUAACAACUUUACCUCAGGAUGAGAACAGAAAUUGCGUGGCGGCAGUGGGAGGCCCCAUUAGCUAAAGUGGUACCUCAGGUUAAGAACAGUUUCAGGUUAAGAACGGACCUCCGGAACGAAUUAUGUUCUUAACCCGAGGUACCACUGUACUCAAGAGGAGUCCAGUCUUUCACACAAAUGCAAGUACUUGUGUAGAGUCAGCUUGUGUUCAGUGUAAAGUGUGAACCGCCUUGUUCUCUCUCGCAACAAGUUGCAUAGUCUUGUCAGCAUGCAACUCCUGUGCUCGGAGAUAUGCACUGGUUGCUGAUCUGCUCUUGGGCCAAGUUCAAGAUACAGUUGCACCUUGGUUCUCAAACUUAACCCGUUCCGGAAGCCCAUUCCAAAACCAAAGUGUUCCAAAACGAAGGUGUGCUUUCCCAUAGAAAGUAAUGCAAAAUGGAUUAAUCCAUUCCAGAAUUUUAAAAACAACCCCUAAAACAGCAAUUUAACGUGAAUUUUACUAUCUAACAAGACCGUUGAUCCAAUAAAUGAAAGCAAUGAACUGCAGUCACACAAUCAGUCAAUCAAUUAGUAGCUGAACUGGGUUCUAUACAGUCACAAGAACAAAACAAAGAAGCCGCAAAAACAAAAACGCAAAAUAAAUAGCAAAAACAGGCAGACCUCGGUGUAACACUCAAAAUGGAAGUGUGGCACUCAAAACGGAGCAUGUUCAGCUUCCAAAAGAAGUUCGCAAACCAAAACACUUACUUCUGGGUUUGCAGUGUUUGGGUUCCAAGUUGUUUGAGUACCAAGGCGUUUGAGAACCAAGGUACCACUGUAUUGCUAUUAGUAAAGCUACCCUUUACCAUUAGGUCCAGUCGUGACCGACUCUGGGGUUGUGGCGCUCAUCUCGCUUUAUUGGCUGAGGGAGCCGGCGUACAGCUUCCGGGUCAUGUGGCCAGCAUGACUAAGCCGCUUCUGGCGAACCAGAGCAGCGCACGGAAACACCGUUUACCUUCCCGCUGGAGCGGUACCUAUUUAUCUACUUGUACUUUGACGUGCUUUCGAACUGCUAGGUUGGCAGGAGCAGGGACCGAGCAACGGGAGCUCACCCCGUCGUGGGCAUUCAAACCGCCGACCUUCCGAUCGACAAGUCCUAGGCUCUGUGGUUUAACCCACAGCGCCACCCGCAUCCCGCUAUUAGUAUACAAAGCCCUUAGCAACUUGAGAUCAGUUUACCCCUUAUGUGCCCACUUGUCCGCUUUGAUCAGUGGAAUUGCCCACAUAUGAUACCUACUCCACAUUUGUAAGAACUCAGUUGUUUUGUGUGUCAGCUCCUAAACUUUGGGACUCCUGCCUAUUGAUAUCAAGUAGUUGCUUUCACUGUAUUUUUUGGGUGCCUGCUAUAAAGCAUUUCUUGUUUAAGACAAGCCUACCCACAUGCUUAGAAAGCUGUGAUGAGUUUUGAUUUGUUGUAGUCUAUUGUUUUAACUUCCUGUAUGUUUCAAAUUAUUGCUGUAAACUUUUAUUUUGAUGAUUGUAUUAUUUUAUCUUUUUGUGAACCUCUUUGAGGGUUCUUCUACAGUUGAGUAGUGUAUACUUUUAAUGAAAUACAUCAAUCUCAUAGAUUAAAAAGAUGCAUGCCCUGGCUUUCGCUUCCUGAUGUGAUGCUAGAGUGGUUGAAAACCUUUCAUGUUGUCCUUUCCUACGCUCCAGACUCAUUGCAAUUCCUUCUUCCAGCUAUCCAUUGCAGUCUAAAUCCAAAUGGUAUCGAUCUCUCCGUCCACACGGAAGGAAUUAACCUGCAACUUGAAGGCGAGAGAGUGGACACAUCCUCCCAUAAGAAGGAGAGCUCUUCCAAGUUGCUCGAGUCCAAAGGAACGCCCAAGAGACAGCACGGGGAGCCAGAAUCAUCUAAG